ACAACGUGCGCAGACGUCGCUCCUCCGCACGGAUGUCCGCGGCCCGGGCCGGGGUGGGAAGGGGCUCCCCCACGCUCCCGCCCAGGUUUGGUCGCCAUCUUUCGGAGCGUCCUUUCCCGCGAGUGCUGCAGUCCCGGAUCUCAGGCGUCCGUUAGCUACAGAGGCCAAUUCCUAACCCGCGCGGCUCGAAUCCCGGGGGUCCCAUCGCCUGCCAGCCGAUUCGCCCAAGCCGGAGAUAGGGCCAGAUUUGAGUGUGUGAAUUUUUGAGUGAAACCUGGAACCCAAAUGAGAAGAAAUCUGCAAGGAAUAACUACUGACAGUGAAUCUGCGGUCAUCUGUAUGCAUAAUAUGGAAUGUUCUUAACCCAGAAGUAGCUGAAUGUGUUACUCCAUUGCUGAGGAGUGACUAUCUGUUAUAAUUCCUGGGUCAAGACAACAAUUUUUAUACCUUCGUCGUGG
RNAcentral lists this small RNA (458 nucleotides) under Pan troglodytes (chimpanzee). RNAcentral's name for it is "processed transcript". Lineage: Eukaryota; Metazoa; Chordata; Mammalia; Primates; Hominidae. The record is from RNAcentral.